ACGGAAGGCAGCAGCUAAGAAUAUUCCGCAAUGGACGAAAGUCUGACGGAGCGACGCCGCGUGGAUGAUGAAGGUCGGAAGAUUGUAAAAUCCUUUUGAGUGUGAAGAAUAAGUGCAUCAGGGAAUGGGUGCAUGGUGACGGUAGCACUUGAAUAAGCAACGGCUAAUUACGUGCCAGCAGCCGCGGUAACACGUAAGUUGCGAGCGUUGUUCGGAAUUAUUGGGCGUAAAGGGCAUGUAGGCGGUUUUGCAAGCUUGGUGUGAAAUCCCGGAGCUCAACUCCGGAAUUGCGUUGAGAACUGCAUAACUAGAGUCACUGAGGGGCAAUCAGAAUUCCAGGUGUAGGGGUGAAAUCUGUAGAUAUCUGGAAGAAUACCAAUGGCGAAGGCAGGUUACCAGCAGAUGACUGACGCUGAGGUGCGAAGGUGCGGGGAGCAAACAGGAUUAGAUACCCUGGUA
RNAcentral lists this ribosomal RNA (459 nucleotides) under uncultured Treponema sp. RNAcentral describes it as "bacterial SSU rRNA". It matches the Rfam family "Bacterial small subunit ribosomal RNA", at positions 341 to 792 of the family's 1533-position model. The record is from RNAcentral. Lineage: Bacteria; Pseudomonadati; Spirochaetota; Spirochaetia; Treponematales; Treponemataceae.